UUUAUUAUUAUGUCGUUCAUGGUCACCUCCGGUUACGCGGAGGAGGGAUAGUUUUAUAAUAUAAACCAUAAAUAUAAUAAUAAUAAUAAUAAUAAUAACAUAAGUGUAUUAUAGGUACCUAACCUAAAGUUUACGCGGGUCGUUCAAGGACGGGCGUCGAGGGGACCGGGAGUGAAAGUGCCUUUCGGAGACGCGCUGGCGCCCGCGGGCGCUUCCAUACUAUUAUCAUUAUUAUUAUUGUUAUUAUUAUAUUAUCUAUGUGUACCGGAUCGCCGGCUGUUGAGGCCAUUUACCCACGGCGCUCCGGGCGACGGGUUCUCCGGUCGGCAGUACUGUAUCGUUACAAUAUAUGUCGUAUUACAGUAUUAUUAUCAUAUGAGCAUAUUACACAUAUAUAUAUAAGUAAUACCGGGUGAGCCGUCUCGCCGAGACGUCAUUUUUCACAUUUAGGGUCAUACCUCACUGUCUGCGUGAUCCGAGUAUACCUAUUAUAGUCGUGUAUAUAGUACGUAUGUUUUUUUUUUUUUUUUUCUAAUAAAGCGCCGCUGUAUGAGAAAAACAAUUGAAAAAAAAACCGUCCCGGUCACCGAUAACACGCGCUUAAAACGAGUAUUAGGUAAG
Non-coding RNA from Cinara cedri, 621 nucleotides. Lineage: Eukaryota; Metazoa; Arthropoda; Insecta; Hemiptera; Aphididae. The record is from the annotation of a GenBank genome assembly.